This is an RNA transcript of Bombus impatiens (common eastern bumble bee), 2126 nucleotides long. RefSeq lists it as uncharacterized. The transcript has 3 exons. The record is from RefSeq and is a predicted model, not a curated record. Lineage: Eukaryota; Metazoa; Arthropoda; Insecta; Hymenoptera; Apidae.
AAAGUAUUUUAUAACAUUCUUUCUUUUUCAGGUUAUAAUUGUCAAUCUUAAUAUUUAUUACCUUCAGUAUUCUCGUACCUGUAAGUGAAAUGGUCUCGGUUUUUUUUUUUCAUUGGCCAACUGUAAGUCUGUUGUCGAACAUCAAUUAUUGACUGUUAUCACCACUUCUUUUAGUUUAACUUUAAUAUUAAGUUAUAAAUGUUUAAUAUCAUUUUUUUUCCUUUUUUUUUUAUUAAGGCAAUUGAGGUUAAUCUAUCCAUUUCUUUCAGCUGACCAUCAUAUACUAUGUUCUACAAAAAUGGACCCAUAACCAAUCCCUGUGGGAUUUUUGCAUAUACAUUUCUUUCUACGAUAAUUAAUUAUGUACAAGUCCCAUUGAUUUAUAAGGUUCCGCUAUCUUCAUUAUUCGACAAGCAGUGUUAUACUAUAUACCACCAUACUACGUUGCCUCUUAAAAUCGUUUUGGCUAUUGUCUAUUUCGGUUGUGUGCUAGUUUUAACUUGUUCAAGUGUACUGUUCGCAGAAUCCCCUUCAUUUCAAUCUUGACGUUUUGAUUCUGCAAAAUUUCUAACACUUUAUCCGGCCGUGUAUAUUGGUCAGAAAAUUUUCCUUUGCUAGGUUCCUUAGUAGAUAUACCAGAUCUCCUACUUUGUAAUUUUGCGGGUUGAUUCGUCUGUCGUAAUAUUCUUUUGACUUUAACUGGGAUUUCAUCAAAUUUUCUCUUGCCAUUUGCUGCACGGUGUUGAUUUUAUCAAACAGGUCUCUGAGAUAUUCCGCAUAUGUUGGUUCCAUGUUCUCUUCGAUUAUCAUUUCACCAGUGGGUUCCCUGGCCAAGUGCCCAAAGACUAAUUUAUGCGGAGAGAAUUUCGUUCCUUCGUGUACAGAGGUGUUAUAAGAAAACAUGGAUAAUUCCACUUAUUCGUCCCAGUUUCUGGAAUUUUCGAUGUAUAACUUGAGAUAUUCGGUGAACACGUGGUGAGAUCUUUCAAUUGAACCGCUGCUUUAUCUAUGGUAUGCCGACGUGGUGUAUUGUUUGAUGCGAAAUCUCUUUGCCACUUUCUUCAUUAGCGAAGAUGUAAAGUUCGCUCCCUAGUUGGUAAGAAUGGUGACCCGAAUCGGCAAAUAAAUCGUUUUACGAAAACGUUCGUUAUCUGAGGAGAUCCCUUCUAUCGGAAUCCCGAUCGAAUACUUUGUCAAUAAAUCUUGAAUAGUUAAUAUAUAUUCAUUUCCCUUUUGUGUUCUUGGUAAUGGACCGACGAUAUCCAUACUAAUUUUGUCGAAAGUUUUGCCCGGUGUAUCUGUGAGCACUAUUGGUUGUUUUGUUUUUAUUCUAGUCAGCUUCUUCAAUUGGCAUUCCUUACAGGUUCUUAUAUAUUCUUGAAUUUCCUUCUUCAUGUUUUCCCAGUAAUAAUAUCGUAUUCUUUGAUAGGUCUUCGUUACUCCUUUGUGUCCCGCUACGCAUGAUUCGUGUUUCUCUUGUAUUAUAUUAUUUCGUAUUUCAACUGGUGAUGUGAUUACUUCCCCAGUGCAGGUGGUGAUAGUUAUGGUUUUUUCCAUAAAUACUCCCUUCAAUUCCCUGAUUGCGCGUCGCCAGGGUAUUUCUUCCAAAUUUCCUUUACUAAUGCUAAAGGACGUUAAUUAUUUUUCGCUUACUACGUUCAGUAAGGAUCUCAAUGAAUUUAGUAAACUUUCUGGCGUUAUAGGAAUAUUUCGGUUUUCCUUUACGGGUAGGAAUAUGAUGUAUUUUUCAGAGUCUUGAUUCAACCUUGCUCUUUUCAACAUUAGGUCUUCAUAAUGCGGCAGUUUCCCUGCUUCCUUCAUUUCUAAGGCUCCUUCAUUUAUCGGAGCACACUGUAUAUCGACGAAUAUUACUUUAUGAUCAUUCACUCUCGUAACUGAGUCUCGCGUUUCCGAAAUUUUUAGUUCCGCAAGUACCGUAGGUUUCGCGUCUUCUCCUCGUUGCCGAGUUGCUUCAGAGUCCACCGUAGAAGGCUCUUCCUCACUUAUUGCUUCGAUGUCCUCUAUUUCUCGAUCGGCUACUUCCUCGCCUGUGUUUACAUCGAUUUCGGCUAAUGCUUGGUCAAAAUAUUUUACGAGUGUUUCUUCUAUGGCAAGAUGGUGUCGAA